UACGGCGGGUGCAAGCGUUGUUCGGAAUCAUUGGGCGUAAAGCGCGUGUAGGCGGCUUGGUAAGUCGGGUGUGAAAGCCCGGGGCUUAACCCCGGAACUGCAUUCGAAACUGCCCCGCUAGAGUCCCGGAGGGGAAGGCGGAAUUCCCGGUGUAGAGGUGAAAUUCGUAGAUAUCGGGAGGAACACCCGUAGCGAAGGCGGCCUUCUGGACGGUGACUGACGCUGAGACGCGAAAUCUUGGGGAGCAAACAGG
Molecule: ribosomal RNA, 253 nt
Filed under: uncultured bacterium
Lineage: Bacteria
Description: partial 16S ribosomal RNA
Rfam family: Bacterial small subunit ribosomal RNA
Source: RNAcentral